UACGUAUGGUGCAAGCGUUAUCCGGAUUUACUGGGUGUAAAGGGAGCGUAGGUGGCAUGGUAAGCCAGAAGUGAAAACCCGGGGCUCAACCCCGCGGAUUGCUUUUGGAACUAUCAGGCUGGAGUGCUGGAGGGGUAAGCGGAAUUCCUAGUGUAGCGGUGAAAUGCGUAGAUAUUAGGAGGAACACCGGUGGCGAAGGCGGCUUACUGGACAGAAACUGACACUGAGGCUCGAAAGCGUGGGGAGCAAACAGG
RNAcentral lists this ribosomal RNA (254 nucleotides) under uncultured bacterium. RNAcentral describes it as "partial 16S ribosomal RNA". It matches the Rfam family "Bacterial small subunit ribosomal RNA", at positions 524 to 776 of the family's 1533-position model. The record is from RNAcentral.